UUGUCAUUAGUUGCUACAUUCAGUUGGGCACUCUAAUGAGACUGCCGGUGACAAGCCGGAGGAAGGUGGGAUGACGUCAAGUCCUCAUGGCCCUUAUAGGUGGGGCUACACACGUCAUACAAUGGCUGGUACAAAGGGUUGCCAACCCGCGAGGGGGAGGCUAAUCCCAUAAAGCCAGUCGUAGUCCGGAUCGUAGUCUGCAACUCGACUACGUGAAGUCGGAAUCGCUAGUAAUCGUGGAUCAGAAUGUCACGGUGAAUACGUUCCCGGGUCUU
RNAcentral lists this ribosomal RNA (275 nucleotides) under uncultured Rhodoferax sp. RNAcentral describes it as "partial 16S ribosomal RNA". It matches the Rfam family "Bacterial small subunit ribosomal RNA", at positions 1105 to 1382 of the family's 1533-position model. Lineage: Bacteria; Pseudomonadati; Pseudomonadota; Betaproteobacteria; Burkholderiales; Comamonadaceae. The record is from RNAcentral.